AUGGUGCUCAGCUUGUCUACGUGGGUACUGUAUCUUGCUCUCUAUAUUUUUCCUCACAUGGGGAACUACCUGCCUGUAGUAUUACUCCUGUUAAAACCAGGGAAUGGUAUGAGAAUUGCUUUAAUGGUUCAUUAUGUCUACAGCAUAAUAACCUGCGAGGCGAUGAAUACCAUUUGGAGUAUAUACUCAGUUUUGUUUGGCUGUCCUAGUCUGGGCUCCUGUGUCUGGGAUCUCCUCAACAAUCGCACCCAGCCCCUGGUGGGAGGAGUAGAGAGUGGUUUCUUCCAGCCUUUCAGGCCAGGCACAGCAGUUUUUGAAAAUAUUGAAUUCCCUCUGGAUGUCAAAGACGGCAUAAACUUGCUGUCAGUUCUGCUUUGUCUUCUCUGUACAGCCUGCAUCAUGUACACCAUGCUUAGAAUCAGAGCUAUGGCACAGCAUCCUCAGGAUGAGGGAGGGAAAAAGAGCAGAGCAACAAACACCAUGCCUACGCAGACUGACACAGAGGAGAAAGGAACCAAAUGCAAAGCAACAGCGUCCAUGUCCACGCAGACUGACACAGAGGAGAAAGAACCCAGAUGCAAGACAACAGUGUCCAUGUCCAUGCAGACUGACACAGAGGAGAAGGGAACCAAAAGCACUGUCAGCGUCCCCAUGCAAACCAUCACUGAACCAGAACAGCCUAAACCAAUUGCAGUUGCCCCCGUUCAGAAGAAGAAAUCAAAAAGCAAAUCAGUCCGCAUUGUGACUGACGAGGAUGCAGCAGGACCUUCGCACCCAGCAGAAGAAGCAGAACCGGAGAUCAUCACUCGGUCACUAUCCCUGGGUGAGCUGCGUGACCUGCGGAGGGAAUUCACCCGCCAGACAAACGAGUCUAUCCUGACCUGGCUGCUUUGCAUCUGGGACGCUGCAGCCAAUGACACCGUUCUGGACGGAAGUGAGGCCAGGCAGCUGGGAUCUUUGUCCCGGGAUGUGGUCAUUGACCAGGGGAUCGGGAGAACCCAAGAAGCUCUCAGCCUCUGGCGGCGACUGCUUACAAGUGUAAGGGACAGGUACCUUUGUAAAGAAGACCUCCAGGUGCACCAAGGAAAAUGGAGCACAAUGGAACAAGGUAUCCGGUGUCUGAGGGAAUUGGCUGUGCUGGAGAUAAUUUUCUCAGAAGAUGAGAGAUUUCCUAAGAGCCCAGAUGGCGUCCAGUGCACAUCAGGGAUGUGGUUGAGGUUUGCACGCCUUGGACCAGAGGUAUACUCCCGUUACCUGGCAACACUGCAAUGGAGGGAAGGCGAGGACAGGGUGGGUGUCUUGGUGAACAAACUGAGGAUUUACAAGGACACCGUCACAGCCCCGUUUCGCACCCAUGUCUCAUCCGUGGAAACAAGUCUUUUGGCUGAGCAAGUCCGGAGCUUGAUUGAAGAAGGCCAUCAGAAAUUGAAAAAGGAACUUAAGGAAGAGAUUUACCCGAUCUCGCCAGAACCAACAAGAGUCUCUGCCAUUAGGAGCCGGCGUCCCCCAGCCAGGGAGAGAGGAUACACCCCACGAGGUAACCUCUGGUUUUUCCUUCAGGAACAUGGAGAAGACAUGAGUAAGUGGGAUGGAAAACCCACCUCCUCCUUAGCAGCUCGGGUAUGUGAACUAAAAAGAGGGACAACUACCACAAGAAGCGCAUCUAGAGUCAAUAUUGCUCCAGUCUUCCGCACACAGAACUCCAGACGGUACCGGAAUGAUAAUAUGACCGAUCCUCUUGAAGGGACCUCAGGAACGUAUUCACCGGAAGGGAGCAACAUGUAA
Long non-coding RNA from Corvus moneduloides (New Caledonian crow), 1785 nucleotides. NCBI's taxonomy places the organism in Eukaryota, Metazoa, Chordata, Aves, Passeriformes, Corvidae. The record is from Ensembl.